Molecule: transfer RNA, 77 nt
Filed under: Candidatus Poseidoniaceae archaeon
Lineage: Archaea; Methanobacteriati; Thermoplasmatota; Candidatus Poseidoniia; Candidatus Poseidoniales; Candidatus Poseidoniaceae
Description: tRNA-Val
Rfam family: tRNA
About the family: Transfer RNA (tRNA) molecules are approximately 80 nucleotides in length. Their secondary structure includes four short double-helical elements and three loops (D, anti-codon, and T loops).
Source: RNAcentral
GGGCCCGUGGUCUAGGGGUUUAUGACAACGCCCUUACAAGGCGUGGAUCACCGGUUCAAAUCCGGUCGGGCCCACCA